AUUGUUGGAUGCCCUGAGUAUUUGUGGGUGUAAAAGGACAUCAGUGGAACGUAAUCAUGAACUGGAAGCUUUUCAGUCCACAGAAGCUGCUUCUGCUGCACAAGAAACAGGCACUUAAGAGGUAUUGAGUGAUUAUCACACUCAACUACAAGAUCAACUACAGGCUUCUUCCUACCUGUACUGAUCACUCCUGAAGGCUUACGCUACCUCCCGGCCGCUGCGCUCCUCCAAUGAACGUCGCCUCGCUUUACCAAACAAACACUCACACAAAGCAAUCCAGACUGUUCUCAUACAGAGUUCCCCAAUGGUGGAACAAACUACCCUCCACUACCAGAUCAGGAGAAUCUCUCACUAUCUUUAAUAAACUCCUGAAGACAGAGCUCUUC
This is a long non-coding RNA of Astyanax mexicanus (Mexican tetra), 386 nucleotides long. RefSeq lists it as uncharacterized. NCBI's taxonomy places the organism in Eukaryota, Metazoa, Chordata, Actinopteri, Characiformes, Acestrorhamphidae. The transcript has 3 exons. The record is from RefSeq and is a predicted model, not a curated record.